UUCUGCUAUCAAAUGUUUAUGUGCCUAGAACUCACUGCCACCAGGACAGGCCGAAUGCAAGGGGCCACUAGGCUUGCUGAUGAAUGCAGAUAGACAUCAUGAUAGGCACUGAGGGAGCUGCAGUUCAGUGUCACCCAGGGUCUGAAGGCGUCAGUAGAGCAGAGGUCACUUACUUGGGUGCCAGGACCACAACAGCAAGCAUUAUUGAAUGCCCGCUCUAGACACCAAACACUCUGUUAGGUACCAGUGAUACAAAAAUCACGAAGGUUAAGAUCGCUGCCCUGGAGAAGCUCACGUGGCGGGAACAGACACACUGGUGUUGCCUACAGAGCCCUUCCAACGUGGUGAGACAAGGCUCCACGCAGAGCUGUGGCUGUAACUUCCCGCUGAAUGACUGUCAAUGUGCUACCCUAGUCAGAACUAGUAUUUUUAACAUUUUAUGAAUGCUUAUGAUAAAGACGUUUUGUUAGAAGGAUUUUAGGUGUGAUUAUUUAAAGGGGGUGAUUUCUGGGAAGAUGAGUCGCUGAAUCAUAAAAAAGAUGGUCAGAUGGAUUUCUUCUCCCAGAAGGCCCUCCUCCCCGGAGAAACUGGCUCAGCAGUGCUGGAGGCAGGGAGCCUGGGUACUUUCAGUCCCUGCAGCCUGUCCUCAACUAACAGAAGUGGACAGCCCCUUCCUAAAGGAGGUCCAAACCUCUUCUCUCCCACGUAGGAGCCCCCUCUUUACUUUAUCCACGACUGCAAUAAGUAUAUUCAGAUUCUACAGUGCAGUUAAGGUUAUGUUUAUGCAUGUGUAAGAAUGUCUUCUGGCCAUAACCACCCACCCUCCCUGUUUCACUGCCUUCUGGCUUCAGUGAAUCGCAGCCUCCGUGAAUAAAGCCAUU
Camelus dromedarius (Arabian camel) is the source of this 881-nucleotide long non-coding RNA. RefSeq lists it as uncharacterized. The record is from RefSeq and is a predicted model, not a curated record. The transcript is spliced from 3 exons. NCBI's taxonomy places the organism in Eukaryota, Metazoa, Chordata, Mammalia, Artiodactyla, Camelidae.